GUUUUUUUUUACACAUCUACCAAUCGGUGCCAUUUUUUGUGAGGCAUUGAAAAAAACCCUGUUUUUUGUGCUUGAAAUUCACUACUCGAUUGAGGGAAAGUAAAGAUAAUUGUAUGUGUGGAGUACAGGAAUGGAGAGGCAAACUGCAGAUAUUUAAUGCGUGGUGGUGAUUCCUCCUCUCGUUUAGGACUUAUCCUCAACAUCACAGCGAAGAGAGAGUCUUUGGAAUAUUUGAGAAAACGUGAGAAAAAAAAUCUUAACUGCAGCUGUUGGGGCUGAUUGGGCGUAAAGGACAAGUCAAGCCACUACCAGGACCUGAGCCCUAGGACCAUGCCUCAGGUCUACCUGGCAUGAUGAC
Molecule: long non-coding RNA, 358 nt
Organism: Salmo salar (Atlantic salmon)
Lineage: Eukaryota; Metazoa; Chordata; Actinopteri; Salmoniformes; Salmonidae
Source: RefSeq, a predicted model, not a curated record